This is a long non-coding RNA of Colias croceus (clouded yellow), 245 nucleotides long. RefSeq lists it as uncharacterized. Lineage: Eukaryota; Metazoa; Arthropoda; Insecta; Lepidoptera; Pieridae. The record is from RefSeq and is a predicted model, not a curated record. The transcript is spliced from 2 exons.
CCGAUCGCUGCACGAGUCAUUCCCGCUACGGCCGUCACACGGGGAACUUGUGUCGCUUGUCUUCGAGUCGCGCAAUCGUAACAAAGGGUGACAACACGAUAAGACAAAUGGGGACAAUAAAGAAAAUAAGAAGAAGAAACAUAAAGGUUGGAGGAAAAAGAAUGCUUACAAUUGGAACAAAUUAAUGAAAAAUCCGGAAUCCAGAAGGAAAAUAAACCCACUAAUUGUUCACAAUGUGAACCUUC